AUUGAACGCUGGCGGCAGGCUUAACACAUGCAAGUCGAGCGGUAUCACAAGAGAUCUUGCUCUCUGGGUGACGAUCGGCGGACGGUUGAUUAAUGUCUGGUAAACUGCCUGCUGGAUUGGGAUAACUAUUGGAAACGGUAUCUAAUACCGCAUAACGUCGCCAGACCACAUGGGGGGACCUUCGGGCCUCUUUUCGUCAGGUGUUCCCAUCUGGGAUUAGCUGGUAGGUGGGGUAAUGGUUCACCUAGGCGACGUUCCCUAGCUGGUCUGAGAGGAUGACGAGCCACACUGGAACUGAGACACGGUCCAGACUCCUACGGGAGGCAGCAGUGGGGAAUAGUGAACAAUGGGCGCAAGCCUGAUGCAGCCAUGCCGCGUGUGUGAAGAAGGCCUUCGGGUUGUAAAGCAAUUUCAGCGAGGAGGAAGGUGGUGAACUUAAUACGUUCAUCAAUUGACGUUACUCGCAGAAGAAGCACCGGCUAACUACGUG
This 490-nucleotide ribosomal RNA is filed under the name uncultured bacterium. RNAcentral describes it as "partial 16S ribosomal RNA". It matches the Rfam family "Bacterial small subunit ribosomal RNA", at positions 30 to 507 of the family's 1533-position model. The record is from RNAcentral.